CUCAUCAAGAAGUGGAAUGGAAGAGUGAUAUCCAAAGCCUUAAGGUCAGCCUUUGUUUAAGCCUUAGGCUUGUUAAAAAAUUGGUGGGUCUGUCAGAGAGGUGAUGUACUGUUUCAUCAGCAUUACCUGCAGCCGCUGAAUCCAUAAUAUGCAGGUUUACUUUGAAACAAGAAGAAGAAAAGAGGCUCAGAGCAGAAACACUAUAUGAAAAAAUAAGAGAAAAAUUCAGUAGAAAAGAAGAGCAAUAUUGUGAAGAGAUGGAAGAGAAACAGCAACUUGAGUUACAAUCCAGGAAUUUAGAAAUGGAGUUAGUAACACUGAGAAAGCUCCUCAAACAGGUUGAAGAUAGCAUGAUGAAACACAGAGACAACUCUCUCAGGAAAAGAGUGCCAGAGCCCUGCAAGAAGGCAUUUUGAACAACCACCUAUGGAGACAAAAGGAGCUAGAAGAGACAAGAAGAGCUAUAGCAAAAAAGUUCAGAUGUAAGCAGAAUUUUUUCUAAUUAAUUAAAUUACCCAUGUUUGUUAUAAAGUUUUAUUAUAACUUAGAUAUUUUUUCUGCUUCUUGAUGGAUUAUUUACAGUUUACCAGUGUAAUUUUACUGUACAAAUACCUCUUCCUUUUACCCUUUUGUCUUUAAAAGUUCUGGAAAGCAAUAUCAGUGCUGUAUGUAAUUACACUGCAGGUACAAGUAAAAAGCUAAAAGAAAACACUCUCUACACCAUUUUUUAAACUGUCUUGUUUUUAUUUCCU
RNAcentral lists this long non-coding RNA (752 nucleotides) under Ficedula albicollis (Collared flycatcher). Its description in RNAcentral is "lncRNA (ENSFALG00000023273.1)". Lineage: Eukaryota; Metazoa; Chordata; Aves; Passeriformes; Muscicapidae. The record is from RNAcentral.